GCCCUCGUGGCGCAACUGGAUAGCGCAACGGAUUCCUAAUCCGUAGGUUGCAGGUUCAAGUCCUGUCGAGGGCA
RNAcentral lists this transfer RNA (74 nucleotides) under Candidatus Pacearchaeota archaeon. RNAcentral's name for it is "tRNA-Arg". It matches the Rfam family "tRNA". From Rfam's summary of the family: Transfer RNA (tRNA) molecules are approximately 80 nucleotides in length. Their secondary structure includes four short double-helical elements and three loops (D, anti-codon, and T loops). Lineage: Archaea; Nanobdellati. RNAcentral also lists the same sequence under 2 other names. The record is from RNAcentral.